This is a long non-coding RNA of Brassica napus (rape), 617 nucleotides long. RefSeq lists it as uncharacterized. The record is from RefSeq and is a predicted model, not a curated record. The transcript is spliced from 3 exons. Lineage: Eukaryota; Viridiplantae; Streptophyta; Magnoliopsida; Brassicales; Brassicaceae.
UUCAUUACAUUCACCAACCAAAGAUCUCUUCUUCAACUUUUCAUCCACAAACCUUUACAUAUGUUUCUUAAGGUCUUUCUACAGCUUAUGAUGCCCUGAAACAGCACAUGUGCGUCGUCGUUGGUUCUAAAAUCGUUUGAUGGACAGUUAAAGAGACAAGAAGGUUCUUCAAAGAAGAGGUAUGUGUUGUGGACGGAUGAAGAGACACUGGCAAUUUCAGGAUGCGAGUGUAGCAUUGGGAGUUGAAGCGAGUCACGGUCUUGGCAGUGUACUGAAGAGAGUCAUGGACUUGGCAGUGUACUGAAACGAGUGAAGUCGUGUAGUGUAGUGUCUUGUGUUGUAUUUACUGAACUCUUGUAUCACGGACUUGUACUGUAAUGUGUAAAGACUGAACUCUUGUGUCACAUGUCUUGUAUUAUUAUUGUAUGUCACCCUCUCAUGUAGUCUUUUUUUCAUCAAGUAGUAACUCCUAUUCAACCUUCUAUCUCUCAUUCUUUAUAUUGAACUUUCUGAACAAACAAAUCACAAACUCAUUUUUUCUCUUCUUACCAAACCAAAACCAAGAUCAAACGCCAAAUCACUAAGUCAUUUUCCCUCUUCUUACCAAACGAAAAUCA